Molecule: long non-coding RNA, 351 nt
Filed under: Mytilus galloprovincialis (Mediterranean mussel)
Lineage: Eukaryota; Metazoa; Mollusca; Bivalvia; Mytilida; Mytilidae
Source: RNAcentral
GAAAUUUUUUUCUACUUUUACUUACACUGAUGCAUAUCAUUUUAGAGAGAUCUAGAGAUACGGUUUAAGAUAAAUCAUAUAGAAAAACAAAUGCACAUUGACCGAUACAUUCCAGUAGAUGCUUUGGAUGCUAGGGGGAAUGGUACUUGCAAUAAUUGAGAGUGCACUUGAGCCGACAGCGUUUUCAAGACUAGAAAUUUCCAUUUUCUUAACAAAGUAAUAAUAAAAAUAUGCUUCGCCGAGCGCAGCUGAAUACGACCACAGAGGUCAAACCCUGAACAGUUGGGACAAAUAUGUUCAAUAUUCAAACUUGAAACAGGUCUGAUUUUGGACUGUUAUUAAAUAUUUGGC